This 447-nucleotide ribosomal RNA is filed under the name uncultured bacterium. RNAcentral's name for it is "bacterial SSU rRNA". It matches the Rfam family "Bacterial small subunit ribosomal RNA", at positions 330 to 793 of the family's 1533-position model. The record is from RNAcentral.
UCCAGACUCCUACGGGAGGCAGCAGUGGGGGAUAUUGCACAAUGGGGGAAACCCUGAUGCAGCGACGCCGCGUGGGUGAAGAAGUAUUUCGGUAUGUAAAGCCCUCUCAGCAGGGAAGAAAGAAGACGGUACCUGACUAAGAAGCCCCGGCUAACUACGUGCCAGCAGCCGCGGUAAUACGUAGGGGGCGAGCGUUAUCCGGAUUCACUGGGUGUAAAGGGAGCGUAGACGGCCGUGCAAGCCAGGAGUGAAAGCCCGGGGCCCAACCCCGGGACUGCUCUUGGAACUGUGCGGCUGGAGUGCGGGAGGGGCAGGCGGAAUUCCUGGUGUAGCGGUGAAAUGCGUAGAUAUCAGGAGGAACACCGGCGGCGAAGGCGGCCUGCUGGACCGCGACUGACGUUGAGGCUCGAAAGCGUGGGGAGCGAACAGGAUUAGAUACCCGAGUAU